Long non-coding RNA from Scylla paramamosain (green mud crab), 2199 nucleotides. RefSeq lists it as uncharacterized. Lineage: Eukaryota; Metazoa; Arthropoda; Malacostraca; Decapoda; Portunidae. The record is from RefSeq and is a predicted model, not a curated record. The transcript has 5 exons.
GGUGUGUUUUGGAAUAUUUUGAGGGUGUUUAAAGGUGUUGUGGUAGUUUAAAAUACAUUGUUAGUUUACUUUUUUUUUACUUUUUAUUUUCUUAUGCAUUAUUUUAUUUCUUAUUUAUAUUGUGGUGUGUUGUCGGUGUGUCCUAACCUAACCUAACCAGCCUACCCUCUCCUAACCUCCCCUCAACCCACAGGCACUGAUUGGCGUGACAUUCAGCAUAGGCUUCACCGUCGGGCACACUGUGGGGGCUGCGUUCUCCCGCUGGGGAAGUACUGGGUGGUUCGCGGCCUCGGCUGUCUACGCACGCACUCUCACUGUGGCUAACAUAAUAUUCUUUGCUGUCUUCUUCCAGGAAUUGCUGCCUGAGGGCAGAAGGAGGAGGGACAUCGGUGCCAGUUUGACCGAGGCUUGGGAGGUGAUCAAUCCUAGGGCUCUGUUCUCCGUCAGCUGUGUCAAGGGCCUGGGCAGAGAAGCCUGGAGUUAACGCUGAUCUUCGCGACCCACCACAAGCAUAGUUACGACUCGUUGGCGCAGGACCGCAAGUUUUCCCUCCUGGGCCUGGUCAUGGCAAUUACACAGAGAGGGUUUAUGCGAAGUGUUAAGACUGGAACUGAAAAAGCAACUGCCAAUUAGUGGUUAAUGACGAUGACUCCUGCUUUCAUCCUCAUCGGGGCUAGCAAGACCAACCUGGGGCUGUACUCUGGACUGACGCUGUAUGCCAUAGGUUCCUCUUUGAUGGUGCCCUGCCUCACUGCCCUCGCCUCCUGUCACAGCACGGCCUCUCACAAGGGUACCCUGUUUGGCAUUCGGAGGUCACCAGGGGCUGUUCCAAGGGCGUUCGGACCUGUUGUGACCAAUAGGUUUGUUUGUGUUGUUCGAGAGUGUUUAGCUGUGUUUUGUGUGUUUUUUGGUGUGUUUUGAGGUGUUUUGGGGGUGUUUUUGGGUGUUUUAAGGGUGUUUUGGGUGUAUUUUUGGGUGUUUUGGUAUGUUUGGCUGUGUUUUGUGUGUGUUUUUGGUGUGUUUUGAGGUGUUUUGGAUGUGUUUUGGGGUGUUUUUGGGUGUUUUGGGUGUAUUUUUGGGUGAUUUGGGUGUUUUGGUAUGUUUAGCUGUGUUUUUGGUGUGUUUUGGGGUGUUUUGGGUGUAUUUUAGAGUGUUUUGCUGUGUUUUGUGUGUGUUUUUGGUGUGUUUGGGGGGUGUUUUGGGAUGUUUUUGCGUGUGUUUUGUGUGUUUGGAAGUCUGAGGCUGUGUUUUUGGGUGUUUUGGGUGUAUUUUACGGUGUUUUAGGAUGUUUAGCUGUGUUUUGUGUGUGUUUUUAGUGUGUUUUGGGGUGUUUUGGAUGUGUUUGUGGGUGUUUUGGGUGUUUUGGUAUGUUUGGCUGUGUUUUGUGUGUGUUUUGGAUGUGUUUGGGUGUGUUUGAGGGUGUUUUGGGGGUGUUUGGAUGUGUAUGGAUAUAUUUAAGGGUGUUUUUUGGUGUGUUUGGGGGUGUAGAGGUGUGUUUGGGUGUGUGGGACAAUGUUUUGGGGGUGUUUGGGGGUGUAGAGGUGUGUGUUGGUGUGUUUGGGUGUAUUUUGUUGUGUUGUCUGUGUUGUUUGGGUCUCUCUCUCUCUCUCUCUCUCUCUCUCUCUGCAGGAUUCUGGGUAAUGUGGGCAGAAGUGUGCUAUAUUGUAGACAGCCUCUCCAUGCUGCUGCCGCUAGUGAUGCAGCAGGCCUACUGAGCUCCCUGCCACGCCCUCAGCCUGUUUAUAUUAGCCAGGUUAAGGAGGAAGGAUGUUGGGCUGAUGUUGGCCUAUUUAUGUGGUUUUUGGGCUAGUUUUGGGCGGUUUUUUGUCACGUGUUCCUUCUUUUGGGCUAGUUUUGGGCGGUUUUUUUUGUCGUGUUCCUUCUUUUGGGCUAUCAUUAUCUAUUUUUGUUCUUUUAUUUUUCAUGGUUCCAGUGACAGUUUAAGAGGCUGUGGUGGAAGUUAUUAGGGUUUUCAAGGGUGUUUUCAUGGUUCCAGUGACGGUUUAAGAGGCUGUGGUGGAAGUUAUUGCGGUUUUCAAGGGUGUUUUUAUGGUUCUAAAAUUUAACAUGCUGUAGUGGAAGUUAUUAGGGUUUUCAAGGGUGUUUUCAUGGUUCCAGUGAUAGUCUAAGAGGCUGUAGUGUGCAAACUCUCUUGUCAGGGUGUAAACUCACCUUACCUUAAUAAAAUGUUGAUUAAUA